AGAGUUUUGAUCCUGGCUCAGGACGACGCUGGCGGCGUGCUUAACACAUGCAAGUCGAGCGGUAAGGCCCUUCGGGGUACACGAGCGGCGAACGGGUGAGUAACACGUGAGCAACCUGCCCCUGACUCCGGGAUAAGCGGUGGAAACGCCGUCUAAUACCGGAUACGACCCCCGGGUGCAUGCCCGAGGGUGGAAAGUUUUUUCGGUCAGGGAUGGGCUCGCGGCCUAUCAGCUUGUUGGUGGGGUAAAGGCCUACCAAGGCGAUUACGGGUAGCCGGCCUGAGAGGGCGACCGGUCACACUGGGGCUGAGACACGGCCCAGACUCCUGCGGGAGGCAGCAGUGGGGAAUCUUGCGCAAUGGGCGAAAGCCUGACGCAGCGACGCCGCGUGGGGGAUGACGGCCUUCGGGUUGUAAACCUCUUUUACCACUCACGCAGGCCCGGGGUUUUCUCCGGGUUGACGGUAGGUGGGGAAUAAGGACCGGCUAACUACGUG
RNAcentral lists this ribosomal RNA (496 nucleotides) under uncultured Nocardiopsis sp. RNAcentral's name for it is "bacterial SSU rRNA". It matches the Rfam family "Bacterial small subunit ribosomal RNA", at positions 8 to 507 of the family's 1533-position model. Lineage: Bacteria; Bacillati; Actinomycetota; Actinomycetes; Streptosporangiales; Nocardiopsidaceae. The record is from RNAcentral.